CCUACGGGUGGCAGCAGUGGGGGAUAUUGCUCAAUGGGGGAAACCCUGAUGCAGCGACGCCGCGUGUGGGAAGACGGUCCUCUGGAUUGUAAACCACUGUCCCCAGGGACGAAGAUGACGGUCCCUGGGGAGGAAGCUCCGGCUAACUACGUGCCAGCAGCCGCGGUAAUACGUAGGGAGCGCGCGUUGUCCGGAAUUACUGGGUGUAAAGGGAGCGUAGGCGGGGAUGCAAGUUGGGUGUGAAAAGUUCCGGCUCAACUGGUAGUCGGACUCUAAACCGGAGCUUUUUGGGGAAGGUAGGGGCAGGCGAAAUUCGAGGUGUAGCGGUGAAAUGGU
Molecule: ribosomal RNA, 336 nt
Filed under: uncultured bacterium
Lineage: Bacteria
Description: partial 16S ribosomal RNA
Rfam family: Bacterial small subunit ribosomal RNA
Source: RNAcentral